AUACGGAGGGUGCAAGCGUUAUCCGGAAUCAUGGGGUUUAAAGGGUCCGUAGGCGGACUAUUAAGUCAGAGGUGAAAUCCCACAGCUCAACUGUGGAACUGCCUUUGAUACUGGUAGUCUUGAGUUAUAUGGAAGUAGAUAGAAUGUGUAGUGUAGCGGUGAAAUGCAUAGAUAUUACACAGAAUACCGAUUGCGAAGGCAGUCUACUACGUAUAUACUGACGCUAAGGGACGAAAGCGUGGGGAGCGAACAGGAUUAGAAACCCGAGUAGUCC
This 274-nucleotide ribosomal RNA is filed under the name uncultured bacterium. Its description in RNAcentral is "partial 16S ribosomal RNA". It matches the Rfam family "Bacterial small subunit ribosomal RNA", at positions 523 to 796 of the family's 1533-position model. The record is from RNAcentral.